This 747-nucleotide ribosomal RNA is filed under the name uncultured bacterium. RNAcentral describes it as "bacterial SSU rRNA". It matches the Rfam family "Bacterial small subunit ribosomal RNA", at positions 31 to 773 of the family's 1533-position model. The record is from RNAcentral.
GAACGCUGGCGGCAGGCCUAACACAUGCAAGUCGAGCGGUAGAGAGAAGCUUGCUUCUCUUGAGAGCGGCGGACGGGUGAGUAAUGCCUAGGAAUCUGCCUGGUAGUGGGGGAUAACGUUCGGAAACGGACGCUAAUACCGCAUACGUCCUACGGGAGAAAGCAGGGGACCUUCGGGCCUUGCGCUAUCAGAUGAGCCUAGGUCGGAUUAGCUAGUUGGUGGGGUAAUGGCUCACCAAGGCGACGAUCCGUAACUGGUCUGAGAGGAUGAUCAGUCACACUGGAACUGAGACACGGUCCAGACUCCUACGGGAGGCAGCAGUGGGGAAUAUUGGACAAUGGGCGAAAGCCUGAUCCAGCCAUGCCGCGUGUGUGAAGAAGGUCUUCGGAUUGUAAAGCACUUUAAGUUGGGAGGAAGGGUUGUAGAUUAAUACUCUGCAAUUUUGACGUUACCGACAGAAUAAGCACCGGCUAACUCUGUGCCAGCAGCCGCGGUAAUACAGAGGGUGCAAGCGUUAAUCGGAAUUACUGGGCGUAAAGCGCGCGUAGGUGGUUAGUUAAGUUGGAUGUGAAAUCCCCGGGCUCAACCUGGGAACUGCAUUCAAAACUGACUGACUAGAGUAUGGUAGAGGGUGGUGGAAUUUCCUGUGUAGCGGUGAAAUGCGUAGAUAUAGGAAGGAACACCAGUGGCGAAGGCGACCACCUGGACUGAUACUGACACUGAGGUGCGAAAGCGUGGGGAGCAAAC